UACGUAGGGUGCAAGCGUUGUCCGGAAUUAUUGGGCGUAAAGAGCUCGUAGGCGGUUUGUUGCGUCGGCUGUGAAAUCCCCAGGCUCAACCUCGGGUCUGCAGUCGAUACGAGCAAACUAGAGUGUUGCAGGGGAGACUGGAAUUCCUGGUGUAGCGGUGAAAUGCGCAGAUAUCAGGAGGAACACCGGUGGCGAAGGCGGGUCUCUGGGCAACAACUGACGCUGAGGAGCGAAAGCGUGGGGAGCGAACAGG
RNAcentral lists this ribosomal RNA (253 nucleotides) under uncultured bacterium. Its description in RNAcentral is "partial 16S ribosomal RNA". It matches the Rfam family "Bacterial small subunit ribosomal RNA", at positions 524 to 776 of the family's 1533-position model. The record is from RNAcentral.